UUCCGAAGCGCGUGUUUGACGACGAUGUUGGGAAAGCUGACCCCCUUGAGCCGCGCGGUGCGGAUGUAUUGAGCGGUCAUGACUUCGGCCAUCGACGCGCGGGUCAUCCGGGCAAUGUAGCCCAUCCCGUAGAGCGAGAUCGUCAGAACCGGAAGGAAGAAGUUUUCGAAAUUCGCGCUC
RNAcentral lists this non-coding RNA (180 nucleotides) under Marivita geojedonensis. Its description in RNAcentral is "Ruegeria cis52 sRNA". It matches the Rfam family "Ruegeria cis52 sRNA". From Rfam's summary of the family: Cis-encoded. Targets oligo/dipeptide ABC transporter. The record is from Rfam by way of RNAcentral. Lineage: Bacteria; Pseudomonadati; Pseudomonadota; Alphaproteobacteria; Rhodobacterales; Roseobacteraceae.